Molecule: ribosomal RNA, 2905 nt
Filed under: Escherichia coli
Lineage: Bacteria; Pseudomonadati; Pseudomonadota; Gammaproteobacteria; Enterobacterales; Enterobacteriaceae
Description: 23S ribosomal RNA
Rfam family: Bacterial large subunit ribosomal RNA
Source: RNAcentral
GGUUAAGCGACUAAGCGUACACGGUGGAUGCCCUGGCAGUCAGAGGCGAUGAAGGACGUGCUAAUCUGCGAUAAGCGUCGGUAAGGUGAUAUGAACCGUUAUAACCGGCGAUUUCCGAAUGGGGAAACCCAGUGUGUUUCGACACACUAUCAUUAACUGAAUCCAUAGGUUAAUGAGGCGAACCGGGGGAACUGAAACAUCUAAGUACCCCGAGGAAAAGAAAUCAACCGAGAUUCCCCCAGUAGCGGCGAGCGAACGGGGAGCAGCCCAGAGCCUGAAUCAGUAUGUGUGUUAGUGGAAGCGUCUGGAAAGGCGCGCGAUACAGGGUGACAGCCCCGUACACAAAAAUGCACAUGCUGUGAGCUCGAUGAGUAGGGCGGGACACGUGGUAUCCUGUCUGAAUAUGGGGGGACCAUCCUCCAAGGCUAAAUACUCCUGACUGACCGAUAGUGAACCAGUACCGUGAGGGAAAGGCGAAAAGAACCCCGGCGAGGGGAGUGAAAAAGAACCUGAAACCGUGUACGUACAAGCAGUGGGAGCACGCUUAGGCGUGUGACUGCGUACCUUUUGUAUAAUGGGUCAGCGACUUAUAUUCUGUAGCAAGGUUAACCGAAUAGGGGAGCCGAAGGGAAACCGAGUCUUAACUGGGCGUUAAGUUGCAGGGUAUAGACCCGAAACCCGGUGAUCUAGCCAUGGGCAGGUUGAAGGUUGGGUAACACUAACUGGAGGACCGAACCGACUAAUGUUGAAAAAUUAGCGGAUGACUUGUGGCUGGGGGUGAAAGGCCAAUCAAACCGGGAGAUAGCUGGUUCUCCCCGAAAGCUAUUUAGGUAGCGCCUCGUGAAUUCAUCUCCGGGGGUAGAGCACUGUUUCGGCAAGGGGGUCAUCCCGACUUACCAACCCGAUGCAAACUGCGAAUACCGGAGAAUGUUAUCACGGGAGACACACGGCGGGUGCUAACGUCCGUCGUGAAGAGGGAAACAACCCAGACCGCCAGCUAAGGUCCCAAAGUCAUGGUUAAGUGGGAAACGAUGUGGGAAGGCCCAGACAGCCAGGAUGUUGGCUUAGAAGCAGCCAUCAUUUAAAGAAAGCGUAAUAGCUCACUGGUCGAGUCGGCCUGCGCGGAAGAUGUAACGGGGCUAAACCAUGCACCGAAGCUGCGGCAGCGACACUAUGUGUUGUUGGGUAGGGGAGCGUUCUGUAAGCCUGUGAAGGUGUACUGUGAGGUAUGCUGGAGGUAUCAGAAGUGCGAAUGCUGACAUAAGUAACGAUAAAGCGGGUGAAAAGCCCGCUCGCCGGAAGACCAAGGGUUCCUGUCCAACGUUAAUCGGGGCAGGGUGAGUCGACCCCUAAGGCGAGGCCGAAAGGCGUAGUCGAUGGGAAACAGGUUAAUAUUCCUGUACUUGGUGUUACUGCGAAGGGGGGACGGAGAAGGCUAUGUUGGCCGGGCGACGGUUGUCCCGGUUUAAGCGUGUAGGCUGGUUUUCCAGGCAAAUCCGGAAAAUCAAGGCUGAGGCGUGAUGACGAGGCACUACGGUGCUGAAGCAACAAAUGCCCUGCUUCCAGGAAAAGCCUCUAAGCAUCAGGUAACAUCAAAUCGUACCCCAAACCGACACAGGUGGUCAGGUAGAGAAUACCAAGGCGCUUGAGAGAACUCGGGUGAAGGAACUAGGCAAAAUGGUGCCGUAACUUCGGGAGAAGGCACGCUGAUAUGUAGGUGAAGUCCCUCGCGGAUGGAGCUGAAAUCAGUCGAAGAUACCAGCUGGCUGCAACUGUUUAUUAAAAACACAGCACUGUGCAAACACGAAAGUGGACGUAUACGGUGUGACGCCUGCCCGGUGCCGGAAGGUUAAUUGAUGGGGUUAGCCGCAAGGCGAAGCUCUUGAUCGAAGCCCCGGUAAACGGCGGCCGUAACUAUAACGGUCCUAAGGUAGCGAAAUUCCUUGUCGGGUAAGUUCCGACCUGCACGAAUGGCGUAAUGAUGGCCAGGCUGUCUCCACCCGAGACUCAGUGAAAUUGAACUCGCUGUGAAGAUGCAGUGUACCCGCGGCAAGACGGAAAGACCCCGUGAACCUUUACUAUAGCUUGACACUGAACAUUGAGCCUUGAUGUGUAGGAUAGGUGGGAGGCUUUGAAGUGUGGACGCCAGUCUGCAUGGAGCCGACCUUGAAAUACCACCCUUUAAUGUUUGAUGUUCUAACGUUGACCCGUAAUCCGGGUUGCGGACAGUGUCUGGUGGGUAGUUUGACUGGGGCGGUCUCCUCCUAAAGAGUAACGGAGGAGCACGAAGGUUGGCUAAUCCUGGUCGGACAUCAGGAGGUUAGUGCAAUGGCAUAAGCCAGCUUGACUGCGAGCGUGACGGCGCGAGCAGGUGCGAAAGCAGGUCAUAGUGAUCCGGUGGUUCUGAAUGGAAGGGCCAUCGCUCAACGGAUAAAAGGUACUCCGGGGAUAACAGGCUGAUACCGCCCAAGAGUUCAUAUCGACGGCGGUGUUUGGCACCUCGAUGUCGGCUCAUCACAUCCUGGGGCUGAAGUAGGUCCCAAGGGUAUGGCUGUUCGCCAUUUAAAGUGGUACGCGAGCUGGGUUUAGAACGUCGUGAGACAGUUCGGUCCCUAUCUGCCGUGGGCGCUGGAGAACUGAGGGGGGCUGCUCCUAGUACGAGAGGACCGGAGUGGACGCAUCACUGGUGUUCGGGUUGUCAUGCCAAUGGCACUGCCCGGUAGCUAAAUGCGGAAGAGAUAAGUGCUGAAAGCAUCUAAGCACGAAACUUGCCCCGAGAUGAGUUCUCCCUGACUCCUUGAGAGUCCUGAAGGAACGUUGAAGACGACGACGUUGAUAGGCCGGGUGUGUAAGCGCAGCGAUGCGUUGAGCUAACCGGUACUAAUGAACCGUGAGGCUUAACCUU